AUACGGAGGAUCCGAGCGUUAUCCGGAUUUAUUGGGUUUAAAGGGUGCGUAGGCGGCCUUUUAAGUCAGCGGUGAAAGUCUGUGGCUCAACCAUAGAAUUGCCGUUGAAACUGGGGGGCUUGAGUAUGUUUGAGGCAGGCGGAAUGCGUGGUGUAGCGGUGAAAUGCUUAGAUAUCACGCAGAACCCCGGUUGCGAAGGCAGCCGGCCAAGCCAUGACUGACGCUGAUGCACGAAAGCGUGGGGAUCAAACAGGAUUAGAUACCCUGGUAGUCCACGCAGUAAACGAUGAUCACUAGCUGUUUGCGAUACACUGUAAGCGGCACAGCGAAAGCGUUAAGUGAUCCACCUGGGGAGUACGCCGGCAACGGUGAAACUCAAAUGAAUUGACGGGG
This 393-nucleotide ribosomal RNA is filed under the name uncultured bacterium. Its description in RNAcentral is "partial 16S ribosomal RNA". It matches the Rfam family "Bacterial small subunit ribosomal RNA", at positions 523 to 918 of the family's 1533-position model. The record is from RNAcentral.